UAGGGAAUAUUGCACAAUGGGGGAAACCCUGAUACAGCGACGCCGCGUGAAGGAAGAAGUAUCUCGGUAUGUAAACUUCUAUCAGCAGGGAAGACAAUGACGGUACCUGACUAAGAAGCCCCGGCUAACUACGUGCCAGCAGCCGCGGUAAUACGUAGGGGGCAAGCGUUAUCCGGAUUUACUGGGUGUAAAGGUGCGUAGGUGGCAAGGCAAGUCAGAUGUGAAAGCCCGGGGCUCAACCCCGGUACUGCAUUUGAAACUGUCUGGCUGGAGUGCAGGAGAGGUAAGCGGAAUUCCUAGUGUAGCGGUGAAAUGCGUAGAUAUCGCGCAGAACUCCGAUUGCGAAGGCAGCAUACCGGCUCCAUACUGACGCUGAGGCACGAAAGCGUGGGUAUCGAACAGGAUUAGAUACCC
RNAcentral lists this ribosomal RNA (414 nucleotides) under uncultured bacterium. RNAcentral's name for it is "bacterial SSU rRNA". It matches the Rfam family "Bacterial small subunit ribosomal RNA", at positions 355 to 787 of the family's 1533-position model. The record is from RNAcentral.